UUCGAGGUGCAUGUGCGCCCUCUGCUUGCGCGACGCGUGCGCGUCGUGUCGUGCGCUUCGCCAUAGCGCACAGCCCCACGAACCCUAGCCCCCAAACUGCAGCCGCCACAAUCUUCCCUCCUUACUUCCUCGUCAACACAGGCGCCGCACCCCUCCCUUCUCCCCCCUUCCCGCAGCCCCAAGAGCUCGGCCGUACCAUUCGACGAGAUCCACCGCCUCCUGAGGUACAUAUCCACCCCAGGUCGCGAGGAAGUCGCGGGAGGAGGAGAGAACCCUCGUCGCAAGGAAGAUGCAGGAGGAGGAGGUCAGCCGGGCGUCGCCGGCCGAAGAAGGAGGAGAAGCGGGGAUGCCAGCCAAGGAGGCGGAUCGCCUCACCUCUACUGCACUGUGAGCGCUGCCGCUACCUCUGCCUCCACCUUGCCCCGCCGUCAUGGGAGGAGUCGCCAUGGAAGAGCAGUCGUAGGUACCACAACAUCAAAGGAGCUGCAGUCGGGUGGAGAUGAGGAUGCGUCGCUCGAUUGACAAGAGCAGGACAGUGAAUUGGAUUGAGGGCGUCUACAUGGCCACACCGCUGCUGCCGCCUAGAGUCGCCUUGGGGUGCCACCUCGAGCGGCCUCCAUCGCCGCCCCGAGUCAAGUCCACCACUGCCGCCAGGAAUCCCGUCCCCAGCAAGCUGACCUGCUGAUGUUGCUGCUGUGCUGGCCAGGGAGUGAGUCCACUGACAUAUGGACACAAGAGAUAUUCAGUUAUGAGGAUUAGGAUAUUAAUGAUUGUUCAGUCAUUGAGGAUUCGAAAAGAGGCAUCAAUGCUCCAGUAAAGGUUGUAUUGAAGUUGUGGCUGUCAAUAGUCCUUUUAUUGAUGCUAACUACAUGGCCUAUAUGUUCAAGUAUGACUCCACUAAUGGCCCCUUUAGAGGAUCCAUUAAGGUCGUGGAUGAUUCAAUACAGGAGAUUAAUGCAAAAAAAAAUCACAACCACAAGCAAAAGGUAAAUAUGCCAGGGUUAGCUGAUUGUUUGCCAUAUUAGUGUGGUUGAUAUAGAUGUCAUGGUUUCUAAAUAUGCAUGACAUGUUGUCCUGAAAUAAGGACAUGUGAAGCAAUGAAGUCGCCGAAGUAACAUUAUUACUUAAUAAUCGAUUCAUAGUUUAGAGCCCCAUGUUUUUUGCACAUUCAUACUGACAUAUAAUAGCUUACAAGUGCACGCUUGUUGUACAUCUCGAGUACUGGAUGUUCCUUCUCUUAUUUUGAUUCUGAUGUUCAUAUGUUAAUUUUCUGCGAUGGAGGGAAAGGAGAAGUCUGAAUGUGCCAACAAGUAGCGACCAGUGAGCUGUCGUCUAUGAUUGGCUAUGGGAGGAGUUGUCUUGCGCUGCAAGGGCAUCUUGCAGAUCGAUUUCCUUGGUUUGAUGUAUCUCGGAUUCUGAUUAGUCUUUGAUUUCACACAUUUGUUUGGAUAUUUUCUUUGCGUCAAGCACCAUGAUUUUUUUAUCACUAGUCAACAUGCACAGUACUAUCUAAGCAUAGUUGUUGGUUCUGAGCUUUUGCAGCACAUAACAAAUCUUAGCUUUCAGGAAUUAUGAUAUUGGCCAUUUCCACUGAACAUGAAGAGGGUACAUGUAUGGACAUGUAGAAACUGGAGUGAAUUAACAUAAUCCCAUAGAAUGUAGUCUGAGAAAUGAGAAUAGUACGCCAACUCAGUGAGGCAAGUACCGGCCUGUUUUGCCAUCCCUGUGAUAAAUGAAAGUUAGUUUAGGUAAUCUUGGUUAUAAAAUCAUUUUCUUAAAGGCUUAACUUAUAACUUGACAGAAAUUUUUAUUGCACCUGAAUAUUUGAUUAUGAAUCUAAGUUAUGGGAAAUAGGUGGAGUAAGAGGAAAUGGGGCGUUGUUAGGCGGGACCUUGCCACUGUUGCCUUGGGUUUUGGCAUCGAAGCACCACCAUGUAUGGCUAGCCUUCCAUGGCUACAUCGAGGGUCCCAAUCUGCAGGUGAGCUCUUCUUUUCAUCUACAGAUUAUGACUAUAGUUUGUGAUUCAUGGCUACUAUAGUCCUUCCAUGGCUAAAUCUCCACCUUGUGAUUCAUGGCUACUAUAGUCCUUCCAUGGCUAAAUCUCCACCUCAAUGAGAUUGUUUUUGUGCUAGAAACAGACUAGGCUAAAUCUCCACCUCAAUGAGAUUUAGUUUGUGCAUUAACGACUAUAGGUUUCUUAUUGUUUUGGAGUGUCUGCUUUCAUUUCCUCUGGUUCAGUCAGUAUUUAUUUGCACCCAUGUUAGCUUCAGUAUUCCUUUCCGAUUCUCACACUUUGGUUGCGGCUUCUUUGUUUAUGUUGGAAGUAUUAGACAGAUAAAUUGUUCAUUUAAGUUGUCUCCACUUUCUCCUCUUGUGUCACAUUAAAUCAUGGUAUAAUAGAUAAUUCAGUUAACUGAUUGUUUGCCAUAUUAGUGCAGUUGAUAUAGAUGCCAUGAUUUAUAAAUAUGCAUGGCAUGUUGUCCUGAGAUAAGGACAGUGAAGCAAUGAAGUGGCCAAGGUAACAUUAUUACUUAAUAAUUGAUUCAUAGUUUAGAGCCCUGUGUAUUUCGCACAUUCAUACAGAUAUAUAAUAUCUUACAAGUGCAUGUUGUUGUACAUCUUGAGUACUACAUGUUCCUUCUCUUAUUUUGAUUCUAAUGUUCAUAUACUGGUUCUGACUGAAUUCUGGCGUUGAUUCCAAUUUUUUGCGAAACUCCAGGACCCCAUGCAGUGUGCAUUGGACAGUGUUGUGGAGGGUCCAAUUUCCUCAUGAUUUAAGAAGCUCUGUGUAGUAUCAAACUUAAUUUGAGAACACUGGCUUGUUUUGUAGUCCAUUCCCAGCACAUGUGUUCAGAAGACUGGACACAUCUUGUACUUACUUGAAAUUUUCUUUCCAUAAAAAGUUCCUUGGAAGGGAUUGCGAAGUUAAACGAGCAUGUCCCUUUUUCAUCUAUUUACAGUGUGUUUUCUUUUGGUUUCACCACAUUUUUAGGUUCACAUUUUUUACAGAUUACGUAUAGGAGGCAUUGAUGAUGGAACAUGAAUGCCCAUUGUUCUUGUUUGCUCCUGAUCUUAGUAGACCUGUGAUGUGCUCUUGAUCCUUUCUCUUUUUUUUGUUAAAUGAGUCUCUGACUGAGGACAUGUUCUUUAAUUAGAUUGCAAUCAUGAAACUUUUUUUUGGGGUUUCUUAUUGUAAAAUACAAAGCUUCCAAAUUGUUUGAUCCUGGAAAUAAGUUAGCAAAUUUUUGUGUGCAGUGAGCUGGGAGCCGGGGUCAUCCCUGUCACCACCAGUCGAACAUACUACUUCAGCCACCAUGUUGAGCGAUAUAAAAGUGUUCUCUGUUUCAUAGAGCAACAACACGAGAUUGUGCCCCCACUUGCUCCUGGUGCAUGUUGCUGCCCUCCUCCCCCCUCUGAUUUGACUUGCUUUACAUUGCGUGAAGUUGUUUACUUUCAACUUUACAAAGCUAUAUCAAGUUCACAACUGUACUUGGCUACAACUGUAACAUGAUGCAUUUCUCUUCCAGUUUAUUGAAUAUAUUUUUAAGGAUUGAAUGUUCUAUCUGGUACUGUCCUAUCACUCAUUUAACUAUCUUAAUUUGUUCACAAAACUCCUUCUGUAGCUAAGAUUUCUUUGUACAACACGUACUAAUUAUUGGUCUUAUUCUUAAAUCUUAUUUCACGUUAUUCAGCUGCAGGCUGGGUUAAGAUUGUUUUUGUGCCAGAAACAGACUAAGCAAUGCUCUAACCUUAAAGGGCAACCUGGUGCAUGUAGCUCCCGCUUGCGCAGGGUCCAGGGAAGGGUCCGACCACUUUGGGUCUAUAGUACGCAGCCUUUCCCUACAUUUCUGUAAGAGGCUGUUUCCAGGACUUGAACCCAUGACCUCAUGGUCACAAGGCAGCAGCUUUACCACUGCGCCAAUGCUCUAACCUUGGCAGCAAAAAUUGUCUAAAUUCCAUAAAUAAGGUCGUGGAACAUCUUUGAAUACGUUCAUUUAAAUAUCUUGAGUCGACCUAUAUGGGUUGCUUCUGUGCACAAUCUCUUUGAUAUGAAUUUAUAGGAGAGAAAUUCUUUCAUGGUAAUGAUGUAUUAUCGAUAUUUACUCUGUUUCUUAGGCAUAUAAGUUUCUUUUUGUGGGAUGCAAUUACGGCACCAUAUGAAUAUGAUCCUUGAGUUGCAUAACAUUUAUAAAGAAUGUCUUGGAAAUUGCAAGUAGAUGAUUACGUUUACCCUGUAACUUUAGGAGUAAGAUAUAUAUGGUGAUUGAAUCUAGAGAUGCUUGCUAAUCUAUAACGUUAAGAUCCAGUCAUGUGCAAUAUGUUUUAUUCAUAGAAACUUGGAAUCAAUCUGGCUGAAAGUAAUCACCUUAUGGCGUGGCAUGAAGAGGUAGUUCACAAACCUCUGUUAGGUGCUCCAUCCUUUGUCACUCUGAUUUGCUUUCCUAAUAUCUGGCUUCUCUGAACAGAUGUGUGCAGAUUUGAGAAAGAAGAGGAAUAAUCCAGCAGAAGAAUUUGGUGAAUAAGAACAACUUGGCAUUUCUCUCUUGUGAACAGAGUCAUGCCUGCCUUUUGAUUUUAUUGUUUGUGCUAAUGCAAACAAGAAUUCUCUAUAGUUCUUGACGCAACACCUCUAAUUACUCAAUCUGCAAUACAUGAUUAGGAGAAGUUUAGUGCAUGAAUUAGCAUUCUAUAAAGUCCGUCUAAGCUCAUGUCUCUAGGCCAGGGUAGAUUUCUCAAUAUCAUUUUUGGGAUUGUUUGAACACUGAACAACAUUGCCAGGUCAACCAUUUCUCAUGUAUUUGUCAUAUCUGUAGGUAUUGUGGUGUCUCAAUUUUGUCACCAGCCUCUUUUACCGACCUGUAAACUAUCUGUCUCGAGGUCUCCCUGACUGUAUUUGGGUUUAGAAAAACAAAUAACUAUUUUUGGACUUAUUUUUGCAUCAACUACUUUGUAGGUAUUAUGUGUGUUGUUAGGGAUCUGAUAUUAUGUAGUUCCAGGGAUUUCAGACGGUCUGGUCAGUCCAUUGUUCUUUCCAUGUGAUACUUUUUCUCAGUAUUGUGAUCAUCAGUGCUCUUGACACUGGUUACUUUUUCUUAUUACUGUGAUCGUCAGUGCUCUUAACAUUGGUUGUUCUUGCUUUAUGGUUGCCUUCCCAGUGCACCUUUAUUACUUCUAACAUAUUAAUUUUAAUAUGCUUGAUUGACCAUAUUAUAUAUUUCACUUCACCGGGGUGGUUGCUGGAAGUGUUGGUUAAAAUAUUUUGGCUAAAACAUUGUCUCUAAUUAUCAAGUUUAUACAGUUGAAUCUUCUUGAUUGACUAUUUUGUAGCCUGCUCUUAGUUGUACAAUAUUAAUUCUUAAAACUGGAUCUCUUAAAAUUAGUUAAAUUUAAUGAGUUGUUUCACUGUUUUCAAAUAAGUAGCUUCAGCCCCAACUGUGUCCUAAAGCUUAUUUUACUGCCUUUUCAAAUAAGUUUUUUUCCUUGGCACUACUAUCACUGUGUACAGAUGGUUACUGAAAGAAGAAGUAUUCAAGCAGCAUACCUUCACUUGACAGAUGCUUUAACCGCAAGAACUGUUGUUAUUUUCUUUUCCUUUGCUGCAAUAAUGGUAGUUCUCCUUUGAUUCUAGAAGCCACAAAGGAGUGAAGGGUAGAGAUUUCAAUUGUUGUUGAAUUGGUGGGGUUUUCACCAAGUUAGUGUUGCAGAUUGUUUCUAUUUUAGGGCAAGAAGCCAAAUCAUAUUGUUCAUUGUAAAUCUUGAAAAACUUGUUUACUGUCAAUUCUAUAUCUAUUAUAAACUUUUUCCUGGUGUGGUA
Long non-coding RNA from Triticum aestivum (bread wheat), 5816 nucleotides. RefSeq lists it as uncharacterized. NCBI's taxonomy places the organism in Eukaryota, Viridiplantae, Streptophyta, Magnoliopsida, Poales, Poaceae. The transcript is spliced from 3 exons. The record is from RefSeq and is a predicted model, not a curated record.